GAUGAACGCUGGCGGCGUGCCUAAUACAUGCAAGUCGAGCGAACAGACGAGGAGCUUGCUCCUCUGACGUUAGCGGCGGACGGGUGAGUAACACGUGGAUAACCUACCUAUAAGACUGGGAUAACUUCGGGAAACCGGAGCUAAUACCGGAUAAUAUAUUGAACCGCAUGGUUCAAUAGUUAAAGACGGUUUUGCUGUCACUUAUAGAUGGAUCCGCGCCGCAUUAGCUAGUUGGUAAGGUAACGGCUUACCAAGGCAACGAUGCGUAGCCGACCUGAGAGGGUGAUAGGACACACUGGAACAGAAACGCGGUCCAGACUACUACGAGAGGCAGCAGUAGGGAAUCUUCCGCAAUGGGCGAAAGCCUGACGGAGCAACGCCGCGUGAGUGAUGAAGGUCUUCGGAUCGUAAAACUCUGUUAUUAGGGAAGAACAAAUGUGUAAGUAACUAUGCACGUCUUGACGGUACCUAAUCAGAAAGCCACGGCUAACUACGUG
This 497-nucleotide ribosomal RNA is filed under the name uncultured bacterium. RNAcentral's name for it is "partial 16S ribosomal RNA". It matches the Rfam family "Bacterial small subunit ribosomal RNA", at positions 28 to 507 of the family's 1533-position model. The record is from RNAcentral.